This 207-nucleotide long non-coding RNA is filed under the name Setaria viridis. RNAcentral's name for it is "long non-coding RNA (SVIR_LNC001708)". Lineage: Eukaryota; Viridiplantae; Streptophyta; Magnoliopsida; Poales; Poaceae. The record is from RNAcentral.
AAGAACAAAACUGCACAUUGCAUCAAAAUCACCAAAGCAAAGCACUAGCUCACAAGUAGCAUAAGGCAGUAUACAUGGUAUAUAGGAGAAGCUCAUCUAGUACAAUAUGAUACAGAUGCAAAGAAACUAAACUAAAAUGAUAUAGAUAUAAUAAAGAGAAGCUCCAAAACUCAACUCAGAAAGGAAAGCACACACCCAACUCCCCCC